RNAcentral lists this unclassified non-coding RNA (260 nucleotides) under Hevea brasiliensis (rubber tree). The record is from RNAcentral. Lineage: Eukaryota; Viridiplantae; Streptophyta; Magnoliopsida; Malpighiales; Euphorbiaceae.
UGCAUGGAACUAUAAUAAGAAACUCUAAUCUUGAUAUUCAGGUUUCCUUUCUUUUUGAUCCAAGACAUACAAUAUCCAGUUAAGGAUAUUCCCUGGUUCUGACACGCAAACAAUUGAUAAAUGAUAUGAACAUAUUACAAUCACAUUGUCAACCACCCCCCUCAACACUAGCAUUACAUUAUGCCGCUUGCUUUGAUAGUUUACAGUAUGGUACAACAUUGAUUGGUUUUUUUUGCCUGCUUGUAGAACAUCUGUGAAGC